This 795-nucleotide small RNA is filed under the name Pongo abelii (Sumatran orangutan). RNAcentral's name for it is "processed transcript". The record is from RNAcentral. Lineage: Eukaryota; Metazoa; Chordata; Mammalia; Primates; Hominidae.
CUAGAAGAGGUGGGUGCAGAGCCUCUGGUGUUUGCCUUCCUAUUCCCCUCUGGGCACCAAGGUACGCUGAGCUGAGACCAGGAUCCGGAACUUCAACCUGUGAAUUUAGCAAACUCUACGAAAGUUUACAGAACUCUAUAGAAGCUCUACAGGAGUCAUGGCACAAACUAGACACCCCACUGCAAAGAGGAAGUAGUUUAUCUAAAGAUGUGCAAGGAAAUAAAGACAUGUGAUGAGGGCUAAAUCAGGCAGCUUGGCCCCACAAUCCUGCUUCUAAAGAGAAGUCCAUGCUGGGGAAGACUAAGACAGCUCUUGCAGAGGAUCAACUCCGUCAGCAAUCUCAGGUGGAAGAACAGAGGGUGGCAGCCCUGGAGAAUCAAAUAUCCGAGGUAUCUGAGCUGCUAGGUACCUACGAGAAAGCCAAGCAGAAGGACCAGCUGGCCAUUCAGAAGCUGAAGGAGCGCAUUCUGCAGCUGGACCUGGAGAACAAGACACUGGCUCUAGCAGCCUCCAGCAGGUCCCCUUUAGACAGCCAUGGAGAGGAGUCCAGUCUGGAUGUCAAUGUCCUGAAAGAUAAGAUGGAGAAGCUGAAGAGGCUGCUGCAGGUUGCGGCCAGGAAAAGCCAGGUGACCCUGGAUGUGGAGAAGCUCUGUGACCUGGAGAUAAUGCCCAGCUCGGAGGCUGCUGAUGGGGAGAAGGCUACUGCACUGUAUUACCAACAGGAGCUGAAACAGCUGAAGGAAGAGUUUGAGAGGUACAAGAUGAGAGCCCAGGUCGUCCUCAAAAGCAAGAAUA